This 116-nucleotide ribosomal RNA is filed under the name Chlamydia psittaci 08-2626_L3. The record is from RNAcentral. Lineage: Bacteria; Pseudomonadati; Chlamydiota; Chlamydiia; Chlamydiales; Chlamydiaceae.
UACGGCCAUCCCACCCUGGUAACGCCCGAUCUCGUCUGAUCUCGGAAGCUAAGCAGGGUCGGGCCUGGUUAGUACUUGGAUGGGAGACCUCCUGGGAAUACCGGGUGCUGUAGGCU